AUGUUUGAUGAAACCGAGGCCUCCUUCACAUGGAUCUUUGAGGCUUUUCUAGCGGCACAUAGUGGAAAGCAACCUAGAACUAUCUACACCGAUCAAGACAUUGCAAUGGGAAAUCCCGUUGGGGAAGUAUUCACAGAAGCAUACCAUGGAUUGUGCACCUUCCACAUAAUGCAGAAUGCAGCCAAACAUUUAUGCCAUGUCAAAGAUCAAGAAGCACCUCCCCUAAAAGGGAAAAAGAAAAAUGAUGAAGAACCACAUAUUCUCGCAGAUUUCAGUGCUUGCAUGUUUGAGAUUGAAGAGAAGGAUGCUUUUGAAGAAGCAUUUGAUGUCAUGAGGAAUAAGGUGGAUAAGAAGACAUGGUUUGAUAGUAUAUACAAGUUCAAAGAAAAAUGGGCUGAAUGUUACACGAGGGAUGUUUUCUCAUUGGGUAUGAGAAGUACACAAUUAAGUGAGAGUUUCAAUAGUGACUUGAAGAAACAUUUGAAAUAUGAUUUCGAUAUCCUCCGGUUCUUAAAGCAUUUUGAAAGGGUCAUGCAAGUAAAAAGAAACAAGGAACUAGAAGCAAAAUUUGAAGCAAGGAAAAACAUGCCUAGAGUAAGAAUGAAGACACCUAUGCUGUUUUGCUAG
Molecule: ribosomal RNA, 627 nt
Filed under: Triticum aestivum (bread wheat)
Lineage: Eukaryota; Viridiplantae; Streptophyta; Magnoliopsida; Poales; Poaceae
Description: partial small subunit ribosomal RNA
Source: RNAcentral